RNAcentral lists this ribosomal RNA (352 nucleotides) under uncultured bacterium. RNAcentral describes it as "bacterial SSU rRNA". It matches the Rfam family "Bacterial small subunit ribosomal RNA", at positions 527 to 881 of the family's 1533-position model. The record is from RNAcentral.
GGAGGAUGCGAGCGUUAUCCGGAUUUAUUGGGUUUAAAGGGAGCGUAGACGGGUUUUUAAGUCAGCUGUGAAAGUUUGGGGCUCAACCUUAAAAUUGCAGUUGAAACUGGAGACCUUGAGUACGGUUGAGGCAGGCGGAAUUCGUGGUGUAGCGGUGAAAUGCUUAGAUAUCACGAAGAACCUCGAUUGCGAAGGCAGCCUGCUAAGCCGCCACUGACGUUGAGGCUCGAAAGUGCGGGUAUCAAACAGGAUUAGAUACCCUGGUAGUCCGCACGGUAAACGAUGGAUACUCGCUGUUGGCGAUAGACGGUCAGCGGCCAAGCGAAAGCGUUAAGUAUCCCACCUGGGGAGU